RNAcentral lists this ribosomal RNA (443 nucleotides) under uncultured bacterium. Its description in RNAcentral is "SSU rRNA". It matches the Rfam family "Bacterial small subunit ribosomal RNA", at positions 26 to 518 of the family's 1533-position model. The record is from RNAcentral.
AGAGCGAACGCUGGCGGCAGGCCUAACACAUGCAAGUCGAGCGCCCGUAGCAAUACGGGAGCGGCAGACGGGAUAGUAACACGUGGGAACGCGCCCUUCGGUUCGGAAUAACUCAGGGAAACUUGAGCUAAUACCGGAUACGCCCUUACGGGGAAAGAUUUAUUGCCGAAGGAACGGCCCGCGUCCGAUUAGCUAGUUGGUGAGGUAGUGGCUCACCAAGGCGACGAUCGGUAGCUGGUCUGAGAGGAUGACCAGCAUCACUGGGACUGAGACACGGCCCAGACUCCUACGGGAGGCAGCAGUGGGGAAUAUGGACAAUGGGCGCAAGCCUGAUCCAGCCAUGCCGCGUGGAUGAUGAAGGCCUUAGGGUUGUAAAGUCCUUUAACGGGAGAUAAUGACGGUACCGUAGAAUAAGCCCCGGCUAACUUCGUGCCAGCAGCCGC